This 253-nucleotide ribosomal RNA is filed under the name uncultured bacterium. Its description in RNAcentral is "partial 16S ribosomal RNA". It matches the Rfam family "Bacterial small subunit ribosomal RNA", at positions 524 to 776 of the family's 1533-position model. The record is from RNAcentral.
UACGAAAGGUGCAAGCGUUACUCGGAAUCACUGGGCGUAAAGCGCGCGUAGGUCGACUUGUAGGUCGGUUGUGAAAUACCUGGGCUCAACCCGGGAGGGGCAGCCGAAACCACAAGUCUUGAAUACUUGAGAGGGUGGGGGAAUACCUGGUGGAGAAGUGAAAUUCGUAGAGAUCAGGUGGAACACCGGAGGCGAAGGCGCCUGCCUGGCAAUGUAUUGACGCUGAAGUGCGAAAGUGCGGGGAGCAAACAGG